This 497-nucleotide ribosomal RNA is filed under the name uncultured bacterium. RNAcentral's name for it is "partial 16S ribosomal RNA". It matches the Rfam family "Bacterial small subunit ribosomal RNA", at positions 28 to 507 of the family's 1533-position model. The record is from RNAcentral.
GAUGAACGCUGGCGGCGUGCCUAAUACAUGCAAGUCGAGCGAACAGACGAGGAGCUUGCUCCUCUGACGUUAGCGGCGGACGGGUGAGUAACACGUGGAUAACCUACCUAUAAGACUGGGAUAACUUCGGGAAACCGGAGCUAAUACCGGAUAACAUGUUGAACCGCAUGGUUCAACAGUGAAAGACGGUCUUGCUGUCACUUAUAGAUGGAUCCGCGCCGCAUUAGCUAGUUGGUAAGGUAACGGCUUACCAAGGCAACGAUGCGUAGACGACCUGAGAGGGUGAUCGGCCACACUGGAACUGAGACACGGUCCAGACUCCUACGGGAGGCAGCAGUAGGGAAUCUUACGCAAUGGGCGAAAGCCUGACGGAGCAACGCCGCGUGAGUGAAGAAGGUCUUCGGAUCGUAAAGCUCUGUUAUUAGGGAAGAACAAAUGUGUAAGUAACUAUGCACGUCUUGACGGUACCUAAUCAGAAAGCCACGGCUAACUACGUG